Molecule: ribosomal RNA, 442 nt
Filed under: uncultured bacterium
Lineage: Bacteria
Description: partial 16S ribosomal RNA
Rfam family: Bacterial small subunit ribosomal RNA
Source: RNAcentral
CCUACGGGAGGCAGCAGUGGGGAAUAUUGGGCAAUGGGCGCAAGCCUGACCCAGCAACGCCACGUGAAGGAAGAAGGCUUUCUGGUUGUAAACUUCUUUUAAUAGGGAAGAGCAGAAGACGGUACCUCUUGAAUAAGCCACUGCUAACUACGUGCCAGCAGCCGCGGUAAUACGUAGGUGGCAAGCGUUGUCCGGAUUUACUGGGGGUAAAGGGCGUGCAGCCGGGAAGACAAGUCAGAUGUGAAAUCCCGCGGCUCAACCGCGGAACUGCAUUUGAAACUGUUUUUCUUGAGUACCGGAGAGGUCAUCGGAAUUCCUUGUGUAGCGGUGAAAUGCGUAGAUAUAAGGAAGAACACCAGUGGCGAAGGCGGAUGACUGGACGGCAACUGACGGUGAGGCGCGAAAGCGUGGGGAGCAAACAGGAUUAGAUACCCCAGUAGUC